UGAUAGCGCAAAGGACCGGUCCUAUUGCUUACGUUUGGAAUAAAUUUAUGAACUCGCAGUCACGGUGUUCUUUAAUCCGAACUUUAAAGUUUCCGGUAUCCAUUCUACGUGGUACCAUGGAGAGAAUAAAUGGAUGGAGUUCGCUAUCCCUCGUAUUUGGAAGGAACCGUCUAACCAUGAUACAAAUUGUUAUUUUUGUAUUGUGGAUUUGAAAAGCGGUUUUAAUAAGUCUUACUGUCCGGAUGUACCAUCAUCACGUGCUCCAGUUCCCCAUUCCCAUGAACGUCCAAUUCCUACGUUGCAAGGAUUUGCUUGCAAUGAUAUAAAAGGAUUCGUCAAUGAAAUCGGGAUUCCGCUAAACGUGAAUGAGUGGCGCUUAUUUAUCGAUGGAUCAUCAAAAAGUCUCAAAGUGAUGUUGUUGCACAACCAAGCAAGAUACAAGCAAUAUCCAUCUAUCCCGAUAGCACAUUCCGUUCUACUGAAAGAAAGUUAUAACACGACAAAAUUGCUUUUAGAUAAAAUUCAAUACAAUAAAUAUGGCUGGGAAGUAAUAGGUGAUUUCAAGAUGAUUGGCUUUCUAAUAGAUUUGCAAGGAGGAAUCACUGAAUAUCCUUGUUUUCUUUGCCUGUGGGAUAGCAGAGA
Molecule: long non-coding RNA, 642 nt
Organism: Topomyia yanbarensis
Lineage: Eukaryota; Metazoa; Arthropoda; Insecta; Diptera; Culicidae
Exons: 3
Source: RefSeq, a predicted model, not a curated record